This 368-nucleotide unclassified non-coding RNA is filed under the name Hevea brasiliensis (rubber tree). Lineage: Eukaryota; Viridiplantae; Streptophyta; Magnoliopsida; Malpighiales; Euphorbiaceae. The record is from RNAcentral.
AGGAGUGAUGGAUGUAGACCUAUUAACACUCCUAUGGAUCCCAAUGUUAAACUCCUUCCAGGACAGGGGGAGCCACUUAGUAAUCCUGAAAGGUAUAGACGACUUGUUGGAAAGUUGAAUUAUCUCACAGUGACUAGACCAAACAUCUCUUUCCCCGUGAGUAUUGUAAGUCAGUUUAUGACUUCCCCUUGUGAUAGUAAUUGGGAAGCAGUUGUUCGUAUUCUUCGAUAUAUAAAGUUAGCCCUCGGUAAAGGACUACUCUUUGAGGAUCAAGGUCAUGAGCAUAUCAUUGGAUAUACAGACGCUGAUGGGGCAAGAUCACCCUCUGACAGACGUUCGACAUCCGGAUGUUGUGUUUUAGUUGGAGG